CAAUAGCGUAUAUUAAAGUUGUUGCAGUUAAAAGCUCGUAGUUGGAUUUCUGGCAGGAGCGACCGGUCCGCCGCAAGGUGUGCACUAGGUUGUCUCCAGUCAUCUUUGUGGGAACUGCUCUGGCAUUAGGUUGUCGGGGUUAGGGAACACAUCGUUUACUGUGAAAAAUUAGAGUGUUUAAAGCAGGCUUAUGCCGUUGAAUACAUUAGCAUGGAAUAAUAAGAUAGGACUUUGGUGGUCUAUUUUGUUGGUUUGCACACCAAGGUAAUGAUUAAUAGGGAUAGUUGGGGGUAUUCGUAUUUAAUUGUCAGAGGUGAAAUUCUCAGAUUCAUGUAAGACCAACUCAUGCGAAAGCAUUCACCAAGGAUGUCUUCUUUAAUCAAGAACGAAAGUAGGGGGAUCGAAGACGAUUAGAUACCAU
RNAcentral lists this ribosomal RNA (421 nucleotides) under uncultured eukaryote. RNAcentral's name for it is "bacterial SSU rRNA". It matches the Rfam family "Eukaryotic small subunit ribosomal RNA", at positions 592 to 1018 of the family's 1831-position model. The record is from RNAcentral.